AGAUAGAGUUUAACAAAAACAUUAGAUUGUGAAUCUAAUAAUGAAAGUUCAAAACUUUUUCAAUCUG
This 67-nucleotide transfer RNA is filed under the name Canis lupus familiaris (dog). It matches the Rfam family "tRNA". From Rfam's summary of the family: Transfer RNA (tRNA) molecules are approximately 80 nucleotides in length. RNAcentral also lists the same sequence under 1 other name. The record is from Rfam by way of RNAcentral. Lineage: Eukaryota; Metazoa; Chordata; Mammalia; Carnivora; Canidae.